This 468-nucleotide ribosomal RNA is filed under the name uncultured bacterium. RNAcentral's name for it is "partial 16S ribosomal RNA". It matches the Rfam family "Bacterial small subunit ribosomal RNA", at positions 28 to 507 of the family's 1533-position model. The record is from RNAcentral.
GACGAACGCUGGCGGCGUGCUUAACACAUGCAAGUCGAACGGAAAGGCCCUGCUUUUGCGGGGUGCUCGAGUGGCGAACGGGUGAGUAACACGCGAGUAACCUGCCCUUGACUUUGGGAUAACUUCAGGAAACUGGGGCUCAUACCGGAUAGGAGCUCCUGCUGCAUGGUGGGGGUUGGAAAGUUUCGGCGGUUGGGGAUGGACUCGCGGCUUAUCAGCUUGUUGGUGAGGUAGUGGCUUACCAAGGCUUUGACGGGUAGCCGGCCUGAGAGGGUGACCGGCCACAUUGGGACUGAGAUACGGCCCAGACUCCUACGGGAGGCAGCAGUGGGAAAUAUUGCACAAUGGGCGGAAGCCUGAUGCAGCAACGCCGCGUGCGGGAUGACGGCCUUCGGGUUGUAAACCGCUUUCGCCUGUGACGAAGCGUGAGUGACGGUAAUGGGUAAAGAAGCACCGGCUAACUACGUG